UUCAAAAAGCGCCAGAGCCGUAGUGCAGAGAUACGGUUGACGAGGUGGAAGUGAUCGAAUGUUUCGGCGGAUGCUUCCCGCCCAUUCGCACAGGGACGCAGGUCUUUUACAAAACAUCUGAGCAAUCAGCUGGACAAAAAAAAGAUAA
RNAcentral lists this non-coding RNA (148 nucleotides) under uncultured Anaerotignum sp. RNAcentral describes it as "glmS glucosamine-6-phosphate activated ribozyme". It matches the Rfam family "glmS glucosamine-6-phosphate activated ribozyme aptamer", at positions 9 to 158 of the family's 167-position model. From Rfam's summary of the family: This entry contains a glucosamine-6-phosphate activated ribozyme that is found in the mRNA for GlmS. GlmS is an enzyme that uses fructose-6-phosphate and glutamine to generate glucosamine-6-phosphate. The record is from RNAcentral. Lineage: Bacteria; Bacillati; Bacillota; Clostridia; Lachnospirales; Anaerotignaceae.